RNAcentral lists this ribosomal RNA (253 nucleotides) under uncultured bacterium. RNAcentral's name for it is "partial 16S ribosomal RNA". It matches the Rfam family "Bacterial small subunit ribosomal RNA", at positions 524 to 776 of the family's 1533-position model. The record is from RNAcentral.
UACGGAGGGAGCUAGCGUUGUUCGGAAUUACUGGGCGUAAAGCGCACGUAGGCGGCUUUUUAAGUCAGAGGUGAAAUCCCGGGGCUCAACCCCGGAACUGCCUUUGAAACUGGAGAGCUAGAAUCUUGGAGAGGCGAGUGGAAUUCCGAGUGUAGAGGUGAAAUUCGUAGAUAUUCGGAAGAACACCAGUGGCGAAGGCGACUCGCUGGACAAGUAUUGACGCUGAGGUGCGAAAGCGUGGGGAGCAAACAGG